This is a long non-coding RNA of Cavia porcellus (domestic guinea pig), 831 nucleotides long. RefSeq lists it as uncharacterized. The transcript has 2 exons. The record is from RefSeq and is a predicted model, not a curated record. Lineage: Eukaryota; Metazoa; Chordata; Mammalia; Rodentia; Caviidae.
CCUGCAGCUACCUCGGCCUCGCCAGGAAUUCGAGCAUCAAAGCAGGGACCAUUUUCUCCCCGCUACACAAUGGGGGCACAGUUGCUUUCUUCUGACCGAGAGUUGGAUGAAUGAGAAGGAUCUGGAAGAAGCCGUCACUGAACGGGCAGCAAGACCUCCCGCCUGCCUUUAUCCAGUCGGGACCAGCACAACUUCGGACCUCAGAUCAAGCGUCCCUUCCUCCAGGAAGUCCUCCCUGACUCCCCGGACUGGAUUCUCCCCUGUUACACACGGCCCGUCCUGCGGUGUCAUUGUGUGCUUGUGCGAUUACUCAACAAGCAUCUCCACUCGGGGAGACCUGUGAGACCUGGGCGGGCGCUGGCCGUGUUUGUCUGACCCUCUUCCCUCCCCUGCGCCGGGCACAGAGAAAGGACGAGCUGUGAGUGCCCUCGGCGCUGCCCGGGCCCCAUACCCUCAGCACGCCCUGUGGCUUUCAUCUUGUGGCUUCAGAGUAGAAUACUAAUAUGGAUUUAUAGGCAGACAUUUGCCUCCUCUGCAGCCUCAUGAGCAAUAACAACAAAUGACUCAGAUUCCUUCUUCUUCCCCAUUCAAAAUCCCAGACUCCCUUUAAAUCCAGCAGAGACAGCAGUGCGUCAGUGAGAGCCAGGGGUGCUGGGUACGGUUGUGCAGGCCGCUCACUGCUCGAGGGUGGAGAUGGAUGGGGUGAAAUCCAGCCCCCCCCUCUUUUCACCACCUAGGACGGGGUGGGAGGAAGGGCUCCUCAUUUUCUAAAUCUCACACAGAAACCCCUGCAGGCUAGCAAGCAGCACUAAAGAGAGCGGUUAAGAAAAA